GAAAACUUCAAAAAUCCCCCCUGUGGUUUCGUAGUUUCUCACUUUGCCCCCCUGUGGUUUAAAAUGUAUCAAUUUGCUCCCCUGUGGUUUCGUUUUUAUCUUUUCGGUAGCUUUUUCGUUAAUAUUUCAUUAAAUUAUAUACAAAAAACUUCAGAUACCCAUCUAAAUUUAUCAAAUAUUCACUUUAGUACCAUUUAAUUUUAACUUUAUUAUUGAUUUAAGAAAAAAAAAUAAUGAAAUUGAUAAAA
Molecule: long non-coding RNA, 248 nt
Filed under: Ananas comosus (pineapple)
Lineage: Eukaryota; Viridiplantae; Streptophyta; Magnoliopsida; Poales; Bromeliaceae
Description: long non-coding RNA (ACOM_LNC006455)
Source: RNAcentral